UAGGGAAUCUUCCGCAAUGGACGAAAGUCUGACGGAGCAACGCCGCGUGAGUGAAGAAGGUUUUCGGAUCGUAAAGCUCUGUUGCCAGGGAAGAAUGCUUGGGAGAGUAACUGCUCUCAAGGUGACGGUACCUGAGAAGAAAGCCCCGGCUAACUACGUGCCAGCAGCCGCGGUAAUACGUAGGGGGCAAGCGUUGUCCGGAAUUAUUGGGCGUAAAGCGCGCGCAGGCGGCUAAUUAAGUUCGGUGUUUAAUCCUGGGGCUCAACCCCGGGUCGCACUGGAAACUGGUUGGCUUGAGUGCAGAAGAGGAAAGUGGAAUUCCACGUGUAGCGGUGAAAUGCGUAGAGAUGUGGAGGAACACCAGUGGCGAAGGCGACUUUCUGGGCUGUAACUGACGCUGAGGCGCGAAAGCGUGGGGAGCAAACAGG
This 428-nucleotide ribosomal RNA is filed under the name uncultured bacterium. RNAcentral describes it as "bacterial SSU rRNA". It matches the Rfam family "Bacterial small subunit ribosomal RNA", at positions 355 to 776 of the family's 1533-position model. The record is from RNAcentral.